RNAcentral lists this ribosomal RNA (2874 nucleotides) under Thauera phenolivorans. RNAcentral describes it as "bacterial LSU rRNA". It matches the Rfam family "Bacterial large subunit ribosomal RNA". Lineage: Bacteria; Pseudomonadati; Pseudomonadota; Betaproteobacteria; Rhodocyclales; Zoogloeaceae. The record is from RNAcentral.
CUAAGUGCAUGUGGUGGAUGCCUUGGCGAUCACAGGCGAUGAAGGACGUGUAAGCCUGCGAAAAGCGUGGGGGAGCUGGCAAUAGAGCUUUGAUCCCACGAUGUCCGAAUGGGGAAACCCGGCCCGUUAAGGGUCAUCCCUGGCUGAAUACAUAGGCCAGUGGAGGCGAACCGAGCGAACUGAAACAUCUAAGUAGCUCGAGGAAAAGAAAUCAACCGAGAUUCCGCAAGUAGUGGCGAGCGAACGCGGAAGAGCCUGCACGACUAAACCAUCAGGUUAGCAAAACGGUCUGGAAAGUCCGGCGAUAUGGGUGAUAGCCCCGUAUGCGAAAACCAGGUGGCGGGUCUGAGCGUGCGACAAGUAGGGCGGGGCACGAGAAAUCCUGUCUGAAGAUGGGGGGACCAUCCUCCAAGGCUAAAUACUCGUGAUCGACCGAUAGUGAACCAGUACCGUGAGGGAAAGGCGAAAAGAACCCCGGGAGGGGAGUGAAAUAGAUCCUGAAACCGCAUGCAUACAAACAGUAGGAGCCUCCUUGAGGGGUGACUGCGUACCUUUUGUAUAAUGGGUCAGCGACUUACGUUCAGUAGCGAGCUUAACCGAAUAGGGGAGGCGUAGCGAAAGCGAGUCUGAUAAGGGCGCUUCAGUUGCUGGGCGUAGACCCGAAACCGGAUGAUCUAUCCAUGGCCAGGAUGAAGGUGCGGUAACACGCACUGGAGGUCCGAACCCACUAAUGUUGAAAAAUUAGGGGAUGAGCUGUGGAUAGGGGUGAAAGGCUAAACAAAUCCGGAAAUAGCUGGUUCUCCCCGAAAACUAUUUAGGUAGUGCGUCGUACGGACACUUGCGGGGGUAGAGCACUGUAAUCGUUGGGGGGGUCAUUGCGAUCUACCCCGCGAUAGCAAACUCCGAAUACCGCAAAGUGAUAUACGGCAGACAGACAGCGGGUGCUAACGUCCGUUGUCAAGAGGGAAACAACCCAGACCGCCAGCUAAGGUCCCAAAUACAUGGCUAAGUGGUAAACGAGGUGGGAAGGCACAGACAGCUAGGAGGUUGGCUUAGAAGCAGCCAUCCUUUAAAGAAAGCGUAAUAGCUCACUAGUCGAGUCGUCCUGCGCGGAAGAUGUAACGGGGCUCAAGCCAUGAACCGAAGCUGCGGAUGUGUCUUUGACACGUGGUAGGGGAGCGUUCCGUAGGCCUGCGAAGGUGUCUCGUAAGGGAUGCUGGAGGUAUCGGAAGUGCGAAUGCUGACAUGAGUAGCGAUAAAGGGUGUGAAAAGCACCCUCGCCGUAAGCCCAAGGUUUCCUGCGCAACGUUCAUCGGCGCAGGGUGAGUCGGCCCCUAAGGCGAGGCAGAAAUGCGUAGUCGAUGGGAAACAGGUCAAUAUUCCUGUACCAGGCCAUGAUGCGAUGGGGGGACGGAGAAGGUUAGGCUGGCCGGGUGUUGGACGUCCCGGUUUAAGCGUGUAGGCGUGCCCGAUAGGCAAAUCCGUCGGGCUGAGCCAAGGCGUGAUGACGAGGAUCCUCGGAUCCGAAGUAGCUGAUACCCUGCUUCCAAGAAAAGCCUCUAAGCUUCAGUCAUGGCGUGACCGUACCGCAAACCGACACAGGUGGGCUGGUAGAGUAUACCAAGGCGCUUGAGAGAACUCAGGAGAAGGAACUCGGCAAAUUGAUACCGUAACUUCGGGAGAAGGUAUGCCCCGUUAGCUUGUAGGCGAACAGCCGAAGGGCGAAGGGGCCGCAGAGAAUCGGUGGCUGCGACUGUUUAUUAAAAACACAGCACUCUGCAAACACGAAAGUGGACGUAUAGGGUGUGACGCCUGCCCGGUGCCGGAAGGUUAAGUGAUGGGGUGCAAGCUCUUGAUCGAAGCCCCGGUAAACGGCGGCCGUAACUAUAACGGUCCUAAGGUAGCGAAAUUCCUUGUCGGGUAAGUUCCGACCUGCACGAAUGGCGUAACGAUGGCCACACUGUCUCCUCCUGAGACUCAGCGAAGUUGACAUGGUUGUGAAGAUGCAAUCUCCCCGCGGCUAGACGGAAAGACCCCAUGAACCUUUACUGUAGCUUUGCAUUGGACUUUGACGGGACUUGUGUAGGAUAGGUGGGAGGCUUUGAAACCGGGACGCCAGUUCCGGUGGAGCCAACCUUGAAAUACCACCCUGGUGUCGUCGAGGUUCUAACCCAGGCCCGUGAAUCCGGGUCGGGAACAGUGCAUGGUGGGCAGUUUGACUGGGGCGGUCUCCUCCCAAAAGGUAACGGAGGAGUACGAAGGUCACCUAGGUACGGUCGGACAUCGUACUGAUAGUGCAAUGGCAAAAGGUGGCUUGACUGCGAGACCCACACGUCGAGCAGGUGCGAAAGCAGGUCAUAGUGAUCCGGUGGUUCUGUAUGGAAGGGCCAUCGCUCAACGGAUAAAAGGUACUCUGGGGAUAACAGGCUGAUUCCGCCCAAGAGUUCACAUCGACGGCGGAGUUUGGCACCUCGAUGUCGGCUCAUCACAUCCUGGGGCUGUAGCCGGUCCCAAGGGUAUGGCUGUUCGCCAUUUAAAGUGGUACGUGAGCUGGGUUUAAAACGUCGUGAGACAGUUUGGUCCCUAUCUGCCGUGGGCGCUGGAAGUUUGAGAGGGCCUGCUCCUAGUACGAGAGGACCGGAGUGGACGCACCGCUGGUGUACCGGUUGUGACGCCAGUCGCAUCGCCGGGUAGCUAUGUGCGGAAGAGAUAACCGCUGAAAGCAUCUAAGCGGGAAACUCGCCUCAAGAUGAGACUUCCCCGGGGCCUCGAGCCCCCUGAAGGGUCGUGGAAGACCACCACGUUGAUAGGUGGGGUGUGGAAGCGUGGCAACACGUUAAGCUAACCCAUACUAAUUGCCCGUGAGGCUUGAUC